GGAAGGGAGGGGCCAGGAGCGGCGGUAAGAGGUGGGGGGGGAGGGGUGUCCGGAGGUAGUGGGCGGAAAGGGCUCGGAGGCGGUGGGUCGGGGCGGGAGUGAAAACUUCAGGCUGAACAGGGGGCUUGCUUUGGAGACGGGCAGACUGGAGGUAGGCAGAGGAGAACGGAAUUCCGGGGGGAGCGGUGAAAUGCGCAGAUAUCAGGAGGAACACCGGUGGCGAAGGCGGUUCUCUGGGCAUUACCUGACGCUGAGGAGCGAAAGUGUGGGGAGCGAACAGGAUUAGAUACCCUAGUAGUC
This 300-nucleotide ribosomal RNA is filed under the name uncultured Enterococcus sp. RNAcentral describes it as "partial 16S ribosomal RNA". The stretch from base 57 to 300 matches the Rfam family "Bacterial small subunit ribosomal RNA", at positions 552 to 795 of the family's 1533-position model. Lineage: Bacteria; Bacillati; Bacillota; Bacilli; Lactobacillales; Enterococcaceae. The record is from RNAcentral.